This 113-nucleotide small RNA is filed under the name Flavobacterium defluvii. Its description in RNAcentral is "Flavo-1 RNA". It matches the Rfam family "Flavo-1 RNA". The record is from RNAcentral. Lineage: Bacteria; Pseudomonadati; Bacteroidota; Flavobacteriia; Flavobacteriales; Flavobacteriaceae.
UUUUAGAAGGGCUGCGUUAGGGAUAGAAACGGCAUCCUUUUGCGACAGUAGUCAUUUCUCGAUUAAAAUGAUAUUUUCCGGAGCAAAAGAUAGAGUGGAUAGCCCGACCGGAG